RNAcentral lists this ribosomal RNA (406 nucleotides) under uncultured bacterium. RNAcentral describes it as "partial 16S ribosomal RNA". It matches the Rfam family "Bacterial small subunit ribosomal RNA", at positions 30 to 526 of the family's 1533-position model. The record is from RNAcentral.
AUUGAACGCUGGCGGCAGGCCUAACACAUGCAAGUCGAGCGAGCGGCGGACGGGUGAGUAAUGUCUGGGAAACUGCCUGAUGGAGGGGGAUAACUACUGGAAACGGUAGCUAAUACCGCAUACCAUCAGAUGUGCCCAGAUGGGAUUAGCUAGUAGGUGGGGUAACGGCUCACCUAGGCGACGAUCCCUAGCUGGUCUGAGAGGAUGGCCAGCCACACUGGAACGGAGCCACGAGCCGGCCUCCUGCGGUAGGCAGCAGUGGGGAAUAUUGCACAAUGGGCGCAGUCCUGAUGCAACCGUGCCGCGUGUGUGAAGAAGGCCUUCGGGUUGUAAAGCACUUUCAGCGGGGAGGCGUUACCCGCAUAAGAAGCACCGGCUAACUCCGUGCCAGCAGCCGCGGUAAUAC